Poeciliopsis prolifica (blackstripe livebearer) is the source of this 1866-nucleotide RNA transcript. It is a transcript of the gene named inositol-tetrakisphosphate 1-kinase b, with no coding region annotated. The transcript is spliced from 12 exons. The record is from RefSeq and is a predicted model, not a curated record. NCBI's taxonomy places the organism in Eukaryota, Metazoa, Chordata, Actinopteri, Cyprinodontiformes, Poeciliidae.
GCAGCAGCAGGACCCAGGGUGUGUGCAGUCAGUCAAGCUGACAGAGGGAGACAGGGAGAGGGAAACACGGGCAACAUCUGUGCUUGGUUCAGCUGUGUCCGUUUUCGGUUUCCUCGGGUCUCUCUGCGGUGGUCGGACCGGAUCAUGGACCGGUCUCUGAGCUAGUUCCCGAGGAAAACACGGACCGACCCCCGGAGCUAAACCUGCAGGUGGAGCCUCCAUCAUCCUCACCAUCAUCUCGGCCGGUUCCGCCCAGAGGAGCCCGAGCAGCGCAGCGAGGAUGCAGACCUUCCUGAGGGGUCGCCGGGUGGGCUACUGGCUCAGCGAGAAGAAGAUGAAGAAGCUCAACUUCCAGGCCUUCGCGGAUCUCUGCAGAAAAAGGGGAAUAGAAGUCGUGCAGCUGGACCUCAGCCAGCCUCUGGAGGACCAGGGUCCGCUGGACCUCAUCAUCCACAAACUGACCGACCUCAUUCUGGAAGCGGACCAGAACGAUUCACAAGCCGUGCUGCAGGUCCAGAGAGUACAGGACUACAUUGACGCACACCCUGAGACCAUCGUCCUGGACCCUCUCCCUGCCAUCCGAACCCUGCUGGACCGCUGCAAGUCUUACCAGCUCGUCCACAGGAUAGAAAAGUGUAUGCAAGAUGAGAGGAUUUGCUCUCCUCCGUUCAUGGUCCUCAACACGGAGUGCACCCCGGACGUUCUGGAGCAGCUCAAGCUGCAGGGUCUCACAUUCCCCUUCAUUUGCAAGACUCGUGUGGCUCAUGGCACCAACUCCCAUGAGAUGGCCAUUAUCUUCAGCGAAGAGGACUUGAAGGACGUGAAGCCGCCGUGUGUGAUCCAGAGCUUCAUCAACCACAACGCGGUGCUGUACAAGGUGUUUGUGGUGGGGGACUCCUACACUGUGGUGGAGAGGCCCUCCCUAAAGAACUUCCCUGCUGGGCCUGCAGGUGAGCAGCGGCUGAGGAGUCCAGAGGCGGCGCACAUCCACACCGAACGAAAAGCCAUUUUCUUCAACAGCCACAACGUCUCCAAACCCGAGUCGUCUUCAGACCUGACCUCGAGGGAGAACGUGGAGGGCGUGUCCCCGCCGCCCUGCGAUGACGUCAUCAGGGAGCUGUCCCAGUCGCUGAGGCAGGCGCUGGGCGUGUCCCUGUUCGGCAUAGACGUCAUCAUCAACAACCAGACGGGUCAGCACGCGGUCAUCGACAUCAACGCGUUCCCCGGUUAUGAAGGCGUUCCGGAGUUCUUCAACGACCUGCUCAGCCACAUCAGCGGCCUCCUGCAGAGCCACAACCCGGACUUCGUUCCCGGCGGCGACCAGCCCAAAGGCCUGGCGGUGAGCGGUGGUGGCGGCGCCGGCCCCCAGGCGCCGUGCUGCUGCUGCAGCAGCGUGCGCGGGAAGGAGCUGCAGAGACUGGGCUGCAACUCGGCCGUGUCGCCCAACUUCCAGCAGCACUGCGUCUCCACAAUAGCUACGAAGGCCUCCUCCCAGUGACUGAGCCCGGCCCGGCCCGCUUGAUUCCUGAGAAAAUCACAGUGGUGACACUUCCUCAUCAGCAUCUCUCUGGGCCAGAACCUUUAAAUCCAUACCGGUGAUCCGAACUACAGCGGGUUCAGGAGAAUCUAACGCUUCCCUGUACUUCCUGUUCUUCACGUUGAAAAUAAUCUGCAGCCCAGACCGUUUCCUGCUCCCAGCUUCACCUCAAUGUUUACUUCAUGGGUGUCUUGUAUAAUGUUUAUAUGCGCCGAGGCUUAAUUACAUAUAGUAUGUUUUGUAAGAGUUCUGUAAUUAAGAUCCACAAUUUUGACCUUUUUUUAAUUAAAGGGCCAGUUCAACAGGCAAAAAUAAACAUGUGAAACCUC